AUUGAACACUGGCGGCAGGCCUAACACAUGCAAGUCGAGCGGAUGAAGGGAGCUUGCUCCUGGAUUCAGCGGCGGACGGGUGAGUAAUGCCUAGGAAUCUGCCUGGUAGUGGGGGAUAACGUCCGGAAACGGGCGCUAAUACCGCAUACGUCCUGAGGGAGAAAGUGGGGGAUCUUCGGACCUCACGCUAUCAGAUGAGCCUAGGUCGGAUUAGCUAGUUGGUGGGGUAAAGGCCUACCAAGGCGACGAUCCGUAACUGGUCUGAGAGGAUGAUCAGUCACACUGGAACUGAGACACGGUCCAGACUCCUACGGGAGGCAGCAGUGGGGAAUAUUGGACAAUGGGCGAAAGCCUGAUCCAGCCAUGCCGCGUGUGUGAAGAAGGUCUUCGGAUUGUAAAGCACUUUAAGUUGGGAGGAAGGGCAGCAAGUUAAUACCUUGCUGUUUUGACGUUACCAACAGAAUAAGCACCGGCUAACUUCGUG
Molecule: ribosomal RNA, 484 nt
Filed under: uncultured bacterium
Lineage: Bacteria
Description: partial 16S ribosomal RNA
Rfam family: Bacterial small subunit ribosomal RNA
Source: RNAcentral